UUUCCGUAGGUGAACCUGCGGAAGGAUCAUUACAGAGUUCAUGCCCUCACGGGUAGAUCUCCCACCCUUGAAUAUUAUACCUUAGUUGCUUUGGCGGGCCGUGGAAACACCAUGGGCUCCGGCUUAUGCGUGCCUGCCAGAGGAAACAAACUCUGUUUUUAGUGAUGUCUGAGUACUAUAUAAUAGUUAAAACUUUCAACAACGGAUCUCUUGGUUCUG
RNAcentral lists this unclassified non-coding RNA (219 nucleotides) under plant metagenome. Its description in RNAcentral is "partial contains small subunit ribosomal RNA, internal transcribed spacer 1, and 5.8S ribosomal RNA". The record is from RNAcentral.